AAUGUUGUUGCAAUAGUGGAACUUGGUACGAGAGGAACCGUUCAUUCGGACAUUUGGUAUUUGGGCCUGCCUGAGCAGGCAAUGGCCCGAAGCUAUCAUCCGUUGAGUUAUGGCUGAACGCCUCUAAGUCAGAACCCGUGCUAGAACGCGACGAUUGCCGCCUUUUCCGAUUUUUAGUUGAAUACGAAUAGAUCCUCGGAUCCUGAAUCAUCUUACGUGGGGUGAUGUUGCUCGGCGGAAAGACCCGGUGACAUUCCUGCUAAUGUUAAUUUCAAAUAUUGGAAGAGAUAAAUCCAUUGCAGACGACUAAUCAACGGUGUAUUGUAAGCAGUAGUGACGCUCUGUAGCUACGAUCUGCUGAGAUUAAGCACUAUGCUGUAAAGAUUU
Molecule: ribosomal RNA, 387 nt
Rfam family: Eukaryotic large subunit ribosomal RNA
Source: Rfam